UCAUAAUGAAUCUGCUGCCCCAAAUAAGAAAUUGACAGACAGCGGAGCUGGCUAGCACAGCAAGCUAGCUAUCCCAUCCGAUUUAUAUUUCACUCGUCCAGAAUUACGUGUCUAGCUAAUAUUUCAGAUCCAUAACGACGCAGGGGUUUAUACUGUUGUAAACGAGGUUGUUUACGAUGGAGUAAAUGUCUGCUAGCCAGCUAACGUUAAAGGGCGUGCUAAGCUUGUGAGCUAGCUAGCUAACAUUGGAAUUCCAGCUGUCUUGACAGCCAUCAUCGAAGACGUAAAUAAAACAUUUAAAAAAUACUUGUUCAAUCUCAGUAGCAUGGACUCAAAUGUGCAGAAGAGACGUGAGAACAAGAAAUCACUGCGAGUGAAAGUGAUCAGCCUUGGCAACGCCGAGGUGGGCAAGAGCUGCAUCAUCAAGCGAUACUGUGAGAAGAGGUUUGUGCCCAAGUAUCUGGCCACCAUAGGGAUUGACUAUGGGGUCACCAAAGUCCAGGUGCGUGACAGGGAGAUCAAAGUGAAUAUCUUUGACAUGGCAGGACACCCCUUCUUCUACGAGGUUCGUAAUGAGUUCUAUAAGGACAGCCAGGGAGUGGUGUUGGUGUAUGAUGUUGGUCUGAGGGAGAGUUUUGAUGCGCUGGACAGCUGGCUCGGGGAGAUGAAACAGGAGAUGGGCUCCAUGGUUAACAUGGAGAGCAUUGUCUUCGUCGUCUGUGCCAACAAGGUGGACCUGACUAAGCGUCGUGUAGUAGACGAGGGAGUGGGCAGGCUAUGGGCGGAGUCUAGAGGGUUCCAUUACUUUGAGACAUCAGCACAGAGCGGAGAGGGCAUCAGUGAGAUGUUCCAGGCGUUUUUCUCCUCCAUAACGGACAUGUGUGAGAACGGCGGGAAGCGCCCGGUGGCGGAGGUCAGUGUCGGCUUCACCAAGGAGCAGGCCGACACCAUCCGACGCAUACGCAACAGCAAGGACUCCUGGGAUAUGCUGGGGGUAAAACCUGGAGCCACACGGGAGGAGGUUAACAAGGCGUACAGGAAGCUGGCAGUGCUGCUCCAUCCGGAUAAGUGCGUUGCCCCGGGCAGUGAGGAUGCCUUCAAGGCCGUGGUGAACGCUCGCACCUCCCUGCUCAAGAACAUCAAGUAGACGCUCCGCCAAUCAACGCCAGCAAGGGACUCCGGUCAAUGCUCUACCCUCCACCCUGACCCCUGACCCCUCGCCCCAGAAUGUCAUCAGCCUUUUCUGCCCUCUCCCAAUCAGCAAAACCAACCCUUUCCCCCGUCCCUGCUCUCCAACCCUUCCCACCAGAUGCCAUGACAUUUUGCUACAACAGAGUUUUAUAAUGUCAUUACUGAUGAUGUGCCACAGAAACUCUGUCUCUCUGUGUAAGGAAGACUUAUCAAUGCUUUAAACAACUGUCAUCUUUCACACACUGGAGAGAGAAGUCAAUGGACGACUGGUGGAGCCAAAGUCAUGGUGCAGUACACGCACACAGCCAGGCCCAGAGCAGAGCAGGUCAGGGAAGGGCAAGGCAGGGAGCUUUGGGCCCAUCUGGUCAGCCAAUCGUCUCAUUACCUUGGCUCAGGGCUAAGAGCAAAGCCACUAAACCCUUUCCCCCUCUGUGACGGGAUGCAAGCGCCAGCCUUUACCUAACCUUACUUUAAUACAUUACAGUUACUUAUCUAUCCACUGGACCCGACUGGAUUGGACUGGCUCUGUUUCGCUUUUUGCCCCAAGCUGAAUAUUUUCUGGAUUAAAAAUAUAUCUGACGGGAUAGAAGGUUGUGAGAGGGAGACGGUUAACUGAUCACUAAAUCGGUUAGCAGAGAAACAGGAAGGGAAGGGGAAAGAGGAGAAAGAGGACUGAAGAAGAAGAAGAAGAAGAAGAAGAAGAAGAAGACUGGAAGACUGAAAGGUGAAGAAAAGACGAGUAGUUUUGAAAAGGUUGUUCUUCUGAAGUGGUGUAUGAAAAAUAACAUGGAGUAGAAAACAUGGAGGCAAAGAUGACGUUGUUCUGAGCAGGAACAGGUUAACUGGUGUCUGAUGGAAGAGUCGUGUCGUACCAUACAACUACCACGCUGAAUUCUAGAUCUCAUGAGUAGACGACAUGCUCCCGUGCUGGAUGUACACGCCUCAUCACCACCAACUCAUCCACUAUGGCUGUCUCUCACUCUCAGUCUCUAACACAUCCUUGGACGUUCUGAACCCCCUACUCCUGGACCAAAUCACCUCAACGUGGCGGUCCAGAACGGCGUAGUCAUGGCGACCUGUGCAGGGGAGGAGAGUAGGUGCGAGCCGCGGCGCUCCAGUGACAUCACACUGCAGCCGCCAGUCCUUUCUGUACACAUCAGUCCCGCCAUUUCCUCCUCAAGCCUGCGGAGGAAACGUGUGAUGUGGCAGAGCGCCGUGCGACAUGUCAUCGACCGGCGAGACCUCUAUCCUCCAACCUCUGACCUCGAGAGAGGGACAGGGGGAGGGGGAGGGGGAGCAGGGACCCGCAUAGUGCUCACAGACG
RNA transcript from Coregonus clupeaformis (lake whitefish), 2515 nucleotides. It is a transcript of the gene named dnaJ homolog subfamily C member 27, with no coding region annotated. NCBI's taxonomy places the organism in Eukaryota, Metazoa, Chordata, Actinopteri, Salmoniformes, Salmonidae. The transcript has 9 exons. The record is from RefSeq and is a predicted model, not a curated record.